AACGAACGCUGGCGGCAGGCCUAACACAUGCAAGUCGAACGCCCCGCAAGGGGAGUGGCAGACGGGUGAGUAACGCGUGGGAACCUUCCCAGUGGUACGGAAUAACUGACCGAAAGGUUGGCUACUACCGUAUACGCCCGAAAGGGGAAAGAUUUAUCGCCAUUGGAUGGGCCCGCGUCGGAUCAGCUAGUUGGUGGGGUAAUGGCUCACCAAGGCGACGAUCCGUAGCUGGUCUGAGAGGAUGAUCAGCCACACUGGGACUGAGACACGGCCCAGACUCCUACGGGAGGCAGCAGUGGGGAAUAUUGGACAAUGGGCGCAAGCCUGAUCCAGCCAUGCCGCGUGAGUGAUGAAGGUCUUCGGAUCGUAAAACUCUUUCGCCGGGGAAGAUAAUGACGGUACCCGGAGAAGAAGCUCCGGCUAACUUCGUGCCAGCCGCCGCGGUAA
RNAcentral lists this ribosomal RNA (447 nucleotides) under uncultured bacterium. Its description in RNAcentral is "partial 16S ribosomal RNA". It matches the Rfam family "Bacterial small subunit ribosomal RNA", at positions 29 to 523 of the family's 1533-position model. The record is from RNAcentral.